GAUGAUGACUGAUGUCCAGCUUGCUAGCUAAGAUUUUGAAAGUAUGAUGUUGACAUGAUCAGUCCAAUCAAAGCUACGGUAGAUAUAAUGUGAUUUGACAUAAUUUUAUCUCUGGCCAAUGACCUUGAGCCUUCUUGGAUGGGCAUUUCUAAUGUAACUCUAUGGCAGCAUCCAAGGCGCUUGAAUUUUCCAGCUCUCCCCAUAGCUUUUUGCCGUGACGUACAGUAGUGUCCCCAUGAGUGACAGAACACUGAGCCAAUCACGUUGCAACUAGAGAACAUUACCAACCUGGCUUCCCCACCACCACAGAAAGCACUGAGCUAAGCUGAGAUCCCUUACUCAAGAAAGCAAAAAAGAGACCAUGCAGCUUUAUUAACGGAAUAAUUAAAAAAAUAUAUAUAUAUAUUUAUAUGUGACAGGCAAUGCCACUGCUGAAUACAACUGCAACUUUAAAUCAAUAUAGUGUUUGUGUUUGAAUUAAGAUGCAGGAUUAAGAUGUCAAAUCUGCUGCCACCCACAAGAUGCAGUAGUGAUAAAGUCCGGAGAAUGUGGAGUUUCUUAUCAUUCAUUCAACUGAAAGUACUACCUUUAGAUUCAUACUGUUAGUAAGGUCACCGUAGUUCCAUUUUUAGCGACGUUCCAAUUCCCUUUUCACUUCUGCAUUCAUAGUUGAUUUGGUGUUCAGCAGCGUAAGUGUCUGACCACUUAAGAGAACGCAAGUUCUACAGCUACAACAGGUAGGAAAUGUAUUAACUCACAGGAUUUCUGCACUUCUAUUCUCUCUCUCCUAGACGAGGAUAACUCUGAUCUAUAUGCGUUAGCCAACCAGCAGUGAACAGUUAAGUAAUGAUGGUUCAAUUGUAGCAUUGUGUCAACAAUAGAUAUAUUUAGUUAGCCUAUGUGACUGUGGGGAGUGUGACGGUGGGGAGCCUAGAAACUGACUGAAGUGGGAGUAAAGAUAAGAUACUGCCAAAGUGCAGAAGGGACACAUAACGACUACAGUGUUAUCACUUCUUGUCUUCAUGAAAAAGUACAUUUUACAUUUUGUCUCAUCCGCCAUUCAGGUCAAUCCCACCAAUCUGUGUCACGCACCAUGGGCAGAUGUAUCCAAGUUUGCAAGCUGGUCUUAUGGGUUGCAGUUUGUGUGACCUUCAUUGUCUUGGGUGCUGUGUACACUGAUGACUGCCCAGUGAAACGUGUCAUCCCUAUCCACAUGAUCAUUUCUGGAUCUUUCGGUCUCCUCUCUGUAUUCUUCUCCUGCUGCAAGGACCGUGUUGUGUGCCAAUAUUUGUCGAAACUAUUUUCGUUCAUGAUCAUCAUCUGGCUCAUUAUUGGUACGAGACAUCAAAUUACGAUACAUGUUGCCUGGUUUGAAUAUUUUUUAAAUGCUUCCUUUCCUCCCUCCUUUCCUCCCUCCUUUCCUCCCUCCUUUCUUUGAGGUAAUCACUGAUCUGUUUCUGUAUUGCUUCCAACAAUCCAACAUUAUCAGCUCAGUGAUUACUUCACGGAAGGAAGGAAGGAAGGAAGGAAGGAAGGAAGGAAGGAAGGAAGGAAGGAAGGAAGGAAGGAAGGAAGGAAUGUACUGAAACUGUAAUUUCAGCAAGCACCAUCUCAGAUUGUUCUGAAAUCAUUUCUGUAGUUAGAAACAGAUAAGAUUAGGAUUUCUGCAACAUUAUUUUGUUGAAAAAUAAUUUGAUCUCUGAGAAGCUAAUUGAUUGCCAAAUUGCCCAUUUUAAUUUAUAGUAUUCAUAUAAUAUUCUAUAAAUGUAGUCUGAUUUGGACCAAACUUUUAGCUAACUUAGCCUUAACUCGACACUGCACAAAACUACACAAGAUCUCUCAAACUGUGUACAUUGAUUACAUUUCAUGAAGAUGACUGAUGACAGAAAUCCUCUAUACCUCUUUGUGGCCUCUACCACCAUCAUAUUGGACAUUAUUAUAGGUACAGUGCCUUGCGAAAGUAUUCGGCCCCCUUGAACUUUGCGACCUUUUGCCACAUUUCAGGCUUCAAACAUAAAUAUAUAAAACUGUAUUUUUUUUGUGAAGAAUCAACAACAAGUGGGACACAAUCAUGAAGUGGAACGACAUUUAUUGGAUAUUUCAAAUUUUUCAACAAAUCAAAAACUGAAAAAUUGGCCGUGCAAAAUUAUUCAGCCCCUUAAGUUAAUACUUUGUAGCGCCACCUUUUGCUGCGAUUACAGCUGUAAGUCGCUUGGGGUAUGUCUCUAUCAGUU
Oncorhynchus keta (chum salmon) is the source of this 2234-nucleotide long non-coding RNA. RefSeq lists it as uncharacterized. The transcript is spliced from 3 exons. NCBI's taxonomy places the organism in Eukaryota, Metazoa, Chordata, Actinopteri, Salmoniformes, Salmonidae. The record is from RefSeq and is a predicted model, not a curated record.